GAUCCUGGCUCAGGAUGAACGCUAGCUACAAGCUUAACAACGUGCAAGUCGAGGGGCAGCAUGAACUUAGCUUACUAAGUUUGAUGGCGACCGGCGCACGGGUGAGUAACACGUAUCCAACCUGCCGAUGACUCGGGGAUAGGCCUUUCGAAAGAAAGAUUAAUACCCGAUGGCAUAGUUCUUCCGCAUGGUAGGAACUAUUAAAGAAUUUCGGUCAUCGAUGGGGAUGCGUUCCAUUAGGUUGUUGGCGGGG
Molecule: ribosomal RNA, 253 nt
Filed under: uncultured bacterium
Lineage: Bacteria
Description: partial 16S ribosomal RNA
Rfam family: Bacterial small subunit ribosomal RNA
Source: RNAcentral